CCUACGGGUGGCAGCAGUGGGGAAUAUUGGACAAUGGGCGAAAGCCUGAUCCAGCCAUGCCGCGUGUGUGAAGAAGGCCUUCGGGUUGUAAAGCACUUUCAGUGGGGAAGAAAGCCUUGGGGCUAAUACCCUCGAGGAAGGACAUCACCCACAGAAGAAGCACCGGCUAACUCCGUGCCAGCAGCCGCGGUAAUACGGAGGGUGCGAGCGUUAAUCGGAAUUACUGGGCGUAAAGCGCGCGUAGGCGGUCUGAUAAGCCGGUUGUGAAAGCCCCGGGCUCAACCUGGGAACGGCAUCCGGAACUGUCCGGCUAGAGUGCAGGAGAGGAAGGUAGAAUUCCCGGUGUAGCGGUGAAAUGCGUAGAGAUCGGGAGGAAUACCAGUGGCGAAGGCGGGCUUCUGGACUGACACUGACGCUGAGGUGCGAAAGCGUGGGUAGCGAACAGGAUUAGAUACCCUAGUAGUC
This 465-nucleotide ribosomal RNA is filed under the name Vreelandella stevensii. Its description in RNAcentral is "partial 16S ribosomal RNA". It matches the Rfam family "Bacterial small subunit ribosomal RNA", at positions 338 to 795 of the family's 1533-position model. Lineage: Bacteria; Pseudomonadati; Pseudomonadota; Gammaproteobacteria; Oceanospirillales; Halomonadaceae. The record is from RNAcentral.